CAUGAAGAGAGUGAAGUGAGGAGUUUCCUGCAGUGUCUGCCUUAUAUCUCACAGCUCAGUGUUGAUACUGAGUGGUCAGAUCUUCAUGAAGCAGUCAGGUUCUUUGUGAAUCUGUUCUGUGCAGCAGCAGAGAGAGAACAGCAGACAGGAGAGAAGAUACUGCAGCUGUUAUCAUCAGUGUGCAGAUAUCAAACAUUCCCUGUUCAUGAGAGAUACAUGGAUGAUUCUUAUGUGUCUGAUUUCCUGCUGGAUCUGUACUCUCAUAUGAAGGACUGUGAGCCUGAAACAGGCCUGAAUGUCCUUCCAUCAUUACAGUCAGUUUUCCAGUCAGCUCCUGCAGUCUGGUCCAUAAACCUCUCAGAGAGAAAGACCUCCAUCCUCCUGGAAGUGCUGAAACUCCAACCAGUGAAGAAAGAAGUGGAGCUGACAGGCUGGGCCCAUGAAGAGAGUGAAGUACUGAGUUUCCUUCGGUGUCUGCCUUAUAUCUCACAGCUCAGAGGGAGAACUGCAGCCAGGAGAGAAGAUACUGAAGCUGUUAUCAUCAGUGUGCAGAUAUGGAAUAUUCCCUUUUGAUCACACAGAUGAUGACUACGAAGAAAUGGAGUAUCAGUGUGAUUUCCUGCUGGAUCUGUACUCUCAUGUGAAGGACUGUGAGACUAAAACAGGCUUGAGUGUCCUUCCAUCAUUACAGUCAGUUUUCCAGUCAGCUCCUGCAGUCUGGUCCAUAAAGCUCUCAGAGAGAAA
Long non-coding RNA from Oreochromis niloticus (Nile tilapia), 744 nucleotides. RefSeq lists it as uncharacterized. NCBI's taxonomy places the organism in Eukaryota, Metazoa, Chordata, Actinopteri, Cichliformes, Cichlidae. The transcript is spliced from 3 exons. The record is from RefSeq and is a predicted model, not a curated record.